This 247-nucleotide unclassified non-coding RNA is filed under the name soil metagenome. RNAcentral's name for it is "partial contains small subunit ribosomal RNA, internal transcribed spacer 1, and 5.8S ribosomal RNA". The record is from RNAcentral.
UUUCCGUAGGUGAACCUGCGGAAGGAUCAUUACAAAUCCACUUGCUUCUUGUACCUGUUGCAUAAUGUGAGCGAGCGAGGGUUAGAGCGAGCGAGCGAGCGAGCCAGUCUCUGGCCCGUCUCGUCUCCCUCUCUCUCCCUCCCUCUCGCUCUCUCUUAUAUUUGACCCCACGGACCCCAAUGAGCACCACAAAUGUACACAACACACAACCUAGAAACAACUUAUAACAAUGGAUCUCUAGGCUCUU